GAUGAACGCUGGCGGCGUGCUUAACACAUGCAAGUCGAACGAUGAAGCCCAGCUUGCUGGGUGGAUUAGUGGCGAACGGGUGAGUAACACGUGAGUAACCUGCCCUUAACUCUGGGAUAAGCCUGGGAAACUGGGUCUAAUACCGGAUAGGAGCGUCCACCGCAUGGUGGGUGUUGGAAAGAUUUAUCGGUUUUGGAUGGACUCGCGGCCUAUCAGCUUGUUGGUGAGGUAAUGGCUCACCAAGGCGACGACGGGUAGCCGGCCUGAGAGGGUGACCGGCCACACUGGGACUGAGACACGGCCCAGACUCCUACGGGAGGCAGCAGUGGGGAAUAUUGCACAAUGGGCGCAAGCCUAAUGCAGCGACGCCGCGUGAGGGAUGACGGCCUUCGGGUUGUAAACCUCUUUCAGUAGGGAAGAAGCGAAAGUGACGGUACCUGCAGAAGAAGCACCGGCUAACUACGUG
RNAcentral lists this ribosomal RNA (466 nucleotides) under uncultured bacterium. RNAcentral's name for it is "partial 16S ribosomal RNA". It matches the Rfam family "Bacterial small subunit ribosomal RNA", at positions 28 to 507 of the family's 1533-position model. The record is from RNAcentral.